Molecule: non-coding RNA, 2002 nt
Organism: Pelodiscus sinensis (Chinese soft-shelled turtle)
Lineage: Eukaryota; Metazoa; Chordata; Testudines; Trionychidae
Source: RefSeq, a predicted model, not a curated record
GGCAGCCACACUAGGAGGGGAGUGGCCAACUGAGAACGGGGUUGACCAUCUUGCUGGCCACCAGCCCAGGUUUCUGCACUUCUUCUGUUAGCAGUAAACACUGCCUCCUGGUAGGACAAGGGACCUAAAAGAAGUGACCCAGAAUCAAGUACCAAGGAGGGACUGAACAUUCAUUGCCUGAGACUACACACCAACUUGAAAGUAAAACUUCAUCAUUAAAGCAAAAGGAAAUAACAAUAGGAUUCUUGCUUCAUUUAAAAGCCAGCAUCAAGAUACCUGCUGCUAGUGAAUACCAGGAAUCACUGCAAAUAUAACGAGGCAAUUUUAAGGUGGAAAAGCAGGUGAAGGCUCAAUACAUACAGACAAGGAUGACAACAGGAGAACAGGCAGGGCUGUUCAGUUAACUAGUGGACUCUUACACAGGAGCCUGAGUGCUGGUAAACUCUGAUACCAGUAAGGAGGUUUGUAAAUUCUCAGUGUCUUGCAUCUUAUAUGACUUUUAAGGUAAUAAGAGUGGUGUAAGCUUCACAGGCACUUUCAAUGAGAUGCCAAUUUAGAGUACCUGGGCCUGAUUCUCCAUGGCAGUCGAAGUGAGUAUAAAACACAAUUAUAUAAGUCUGACAGCAUUUCACACCCACUGUGGUCAGAGAGAGAUAGCAGUACAAAGUAUUAGAGAAUUAGUAUUAGGGAUGGAAAGGGAAAGCAUAUUGGUAGCUAAUUUGCAUGCAGGGCAGCACUUCGGUAAAGUGCGCGUUUUGUCUCCAUGGCCCAAAUUCUGCAAAAAAGCAGCCUGCAGGCUGUUGAAAUCUAUGCAGGCACGAAGGUUUGCCCAUGUGGGUUCUCCUUGCAGAACCAGGGCUAAAAAUGGAUCUCAUACCCAAAACUUAGAAACAGGAGAGUUGAAUAUCUGAAUGAAAUAGGGCUGGUUAGCAAUAGGUUGACAUUUAUCCAAAGACCCUAAAUUUAAAUGAUUAAAAAAAAUAAAAAAAAAUAAACAGAACUCAGCUUCAAAGCACCCAUCCUUUGGGUUUGCAAAACUGAAAUCUAAUCAAGAUUUUCAAAUGUAAUAAUAUUAAGAACAAAAUUUGGUACGCUUGGCCUUUCUUUACUGUUUUUCUAACCUUCAGUAAUGGCAAAAUGAAAGUGAUCUUUGGCGCUUUUGGGGGGGUGAGCUAGGGAAGAGAGUUAUGGAAAACCCUCUCCCAGAUGUACUAGCUAGGAAACUACUAUACAUUCUAACAUCAGAUAGCUAUGAACAUUUGGGAGGGAAGGGAAAGGAGGGCCUAGCUUUAUGUUCUAAUAAAAAACAUUUUCUUUGCCAAACAUUUUGAAAGGACCCAGUGGGUGAAUGGUAACAUUUUCUUAAAAAGUAAAAGAAAACACCCCACAUAAAAGGCAGAUCAUUGGUGCUUAUAAAGACGAUUACUAGUUUUUAAAACUGCUGGGAAAUACAGGGACAGAGGCUUGCAAGACAAAAGACCUCAUUAUUUAAGAAAGGAUCUAGCAUCAGGCCAGUGGGACUCCUUACAACUUUGUCAUUGAACAUCUUCAGACUAUUAUAGAAGUAGAAAAAUACAGAUCCCGGGGAAUAAAAUAAAAUCUUCACACCCACUGUGCUUUGGAUCCUAAAUAAAAUGCAUUAGGCUACUUCCUUUCUCCUCCCUCAUGCUCCCUAUAAUCUUGGUCUUCACCAGCCUACUUGCUUUCUUGCGUUUCACUGGAGGCUUAAAGGGUCUGCCCAGUCAGUCAUUACCAGAAAAGGAAAGGUGGUGCUUGAUGGAAAUGUGCAAGGGGCUAACAAGAGCAGAGCAGAGAUCUGAGAGGGCUGGGCAUCACUCUCUAGACACAUUUCAACUAACAGGAAGAAGCAUGACCAAGUGCUCAUUACCCAUGCCAGAAGCUGUGCAUAUAACUGAUUUUGUUUUGAAGUUAACUGGCAAUUCCAGAAAUACUGGGGGAAAAAAUGUUCAGGCCUACUUGACUUUUUCAAAAUUUUGCCAAA